CCUACGGGUGGCAGCAGUGGGGAAUAUUGGGCAAUGGACGCAAGUCUGACCCAGCAACGCCGCGUGAAGGAAGAAGGCUUUCGGGUUGUAAACUUCUUUUAAGGGGGAAGAGCAGAAGACGGUACCCCUUGAAUAAGCCACGGCUAACUACGUGCCAGCAGCCGCGGUAAUACGUAGGUGGCAAGCGUUGUCCGGAUUUACUGGGUGUAAAGGGCGUGCAGCCGGAGAGACAAGUCAGCGGUCAAAUCGUGGGGCUCAACCCCAUCCAGCCGUUGAAACUGGGGAUCUAGAGUGUGCGAGAGGUAUGCGGAAUGCGUGGUGUAGCGGUGAAAUGCAUAGAUAUCACACAGAACACCGAUUGCGAAGGCAUCUCACGAAUCCGCGAUUGACGCUGAUGCACGAAAGCGUGGGUAUCAAACAGGAUUAGAUACCCGGGUAGUC
Molecule: ribosomal RNA, 441 nt
Filed under: uncultured bacterium
Lineage: Bacteria
Description: partial 16S ribosomal RNA
Rfam family: Bacterial small subunit ribosomal RNA
Source: RNAcentral